GACGAACGCUGGCGGCGUGCCUAAUACAUGCAAGUCGAGCGCAGGAAACUGACGGAACUCUUCGGAGGGAAGGCAGUGGAAUGAGCGGCGGACGGGUGAGUAACACGUAAGGAACCUGCCUCAAGGAUUGGGAUAACUCCGAGAAAUCGGAGCUAAUACCGGAUAGUUCAACGGACCGCAUGGUCCGCUGAUGAAAGGCGCUCCGGCGUCACCUUGAGAUGGCCUUGCGGUGCAUUAGCUAGUUGGUGGGGUAACGGCCCACCAAGGCGACGAUGCAUAGCCGACCUGAGAGGGUGAUCGGCCACACUGGGACUGAGACACGACCCAGACGCCUACGGGAGGCAGCAGUAGGGAAUCUUCCACAAUGGACGAAAGUCUGAUGGAGCAACGCCGCGUGAGUGAUGAAGGUUUUCGGAUCGUAAAACUCUGUUGUAAGGGAAGAACACGUACGAGAGGAAAUGCUCAUACCUUGACGGUACCUUACGAGAAAGCCACGGCUAACUACGUGCCAGCAGCCGCAGUAA
Molecule: ribosomal RNA, 524 nt
Filed under: uncultured bacterium
Lineage: Bacteria
Description: partial 16S ribosomal RNA
Rfam family: Bacterial small subunit ribosomal RNA
Source: RNAcentral